RNAcentral lists this ribosomal RNA (489 nucleotides) under uncultured bacterium. RNAcentral's name for it is "partial 16S ribosomal RNA". It matches the Rfam family "Bacterial small subunit ribosomal RNA", at positions 30 to 507 of the family's 1533-position model. The record is from RNAcentral.
UUGAACGCUGGCGGCAGGCCUAACCCAUGCAAGUCGAACGGUAACAGGAAGCAGCUUGCUGCUUCGCUGACGAGUGGCGGCCGGGUGAGUAAUGUCUGGGAAACUGCCUGAUGGAGGGGGAUAACUACUGGAAACGGUAGCUAAUACCGCAUAACGUCGCAAGACCAAAGAGGGGGACCUUAGGGCCUCUUGCCAUCGGAUGUGCCCAGAUGGGAUUAGCUAGUAGGUGGGGUAACGGCUCACCUAGGCGACGAUCCCUAGCUGGUCUGAGAGGAUGACCAGCCACACUGGAACUGAGACACGGUCCAGACUCCUACGGGAGGCAGCAGUGGGGAAUAUUGCACAAUGGGCGCAAGCCUGAUGCAGCCAUGCCGCGUGUAUGAAGAAGGCCUUCGGGUUGUAAAGUACUUUCAGCGGGGAGGAAGGGAGUAAAGUUAAUACCUUGGCUCAUUGACGUUACCCGCAGAAGAAGCACCGGCUAACUCCGUG